UUAUGGCCAUAUCACGUUGUAACAACGGUUCUCGUACGACCGCCGGAGUUUAGCAACGUCGAGCCUGGUCCGUACUUAGAUGGGUGAUCACAUGCGAAUAUGACGUGGUGCAG
Molecule: non-coding RNA, 113 nt
Organism: Acanthosepion pharaonis
Lineage: Eukaryota; Metazoa; Mollusca; Cephalopoda; Sepiida; Sepiidae
Source: the annotation of a GenBank genome assembly